This 1438-nucleotide ribosomal RNA is filed under the name Neptunitalea chrysea. RNAcentral describes it as "16S ribosomal RNA". It matches the Rfam family "Bacterial small subunit ribosomal RNA". The record is from RNAcentral. Lineage: Bacteria; Pseudomonadati; Bacteroidota; Flavobacteriia; Flavobacteriales; Flavobacteriaceae.
GAUGAACGCUAGCGGCAGGCCUAACACAUGCAAGUCGAGGGGUAUAAUUACUUCGGUAAUUAGAGACCGGCGCACGGGUGCGUAACGCGUAUGCAAUCUACCUUGUACAGGGGGAUAGCCCAGAGAAAUUUGGAUUAAUAUCCCAUAAUAUUAUAGAUACACCUGUAUUUAUAAUUAAAGCUUCGGCGGUACAAGAUGAGCAUGCGUCCUAUUAGCUAGAUGGAGUGGUAACGGCACCCCAUGGCAACGAUAGGUAGGGGUCCUGAGAGGGAGAUCCCCCACACUGGUACUGAGACACGGACCAGACUCCUACGGGAGGCAGCAGUGAGGAAUAUUGGUCAAUGGUCGGAAGACUGAACCAGCCAUGCCGCGUGCAGGAAGACUGCCUUAUGGGUUGUAAACUGCUUUUGUAUGAGAAGAAUAAGAUCUACGAGUAGAUUGAUGACGGUAUCAUACGAAUAAGGAUCGGCUAACUCCGUGCCAGCAGCCGCGGUAAUACGGAGGAUCCAAGCGUUAUCCGGAAUCAUUGGGUUUAAAGGGUCCGUAGGCGGAUUAUUAAGUCAGGGGUGAAAGUUUGCAGCUCAACUGUAAAAUUGCCUUUGAUACUGAUAGUCUUGAAUGGUUAGGAAGUGGUUAGAAUAUGUAGUGUAGCGGUGAAAUGCAUAGAUAUUACAUAGAAUACCAAUUGCGAAGGCAGAUCACUACUAACUGAUUGACGCUGAUGGACGAAAGCGUGGGGAGCGAACAGGAUUAGAUACCCUGGUAGUCCACGCCGUAAACGAUGGAUACUAGCUGUUCGGCGCAAGCUGAGUGGCUAAGCGAAAGUGAUAAGUAUCCCACCUGGGGAGUACGUUCGCAAGAAUGAAACUCAAAGGAAUUGACGGGGGCCCGCACAAGCGGUGGAGCAUGUGGUUUAAUUCGAUGAUACGCGAGGAACCUUACCAGGGCUUAAAUGUAGACUGACAGGACUAGAGAUAGUUUUUUCUUCGGACAGUUUACAAGGUGCUGCAUGGUUGUCGUCAGCUCGUGCCGUGAGGUGUCAGGUUAAGUCCUAUAACGAGCGCAACCCCUGCCGUUAGUUACCAGCAUGUUAUGAUGGGGACUCUAACGGGACUGCCGGUGCAAACCGCGAGGAAGGUGGGGAUGACGUCAAAUCAUCACGGCCCUUACGUCCUGGGCCACACACGUGCUACAAUGGUAGGUACAGAGAGCAGCCACUGCGUGAGCAGGAGCGAAUCUAUAAAACCUAUCUCAGUUCGGAUCGUAGUCUGCAACUCGACUACGUGAAGCUGGAAUCGCUAGUAAUCGGAUAUCAGCCAUGAUCCGGUGAAUACGUUCCCGGGCCUUGUACACACCGCCCGUCAAGCCAUGGAAGUCGGGGGUACCUGAAGUCGGUGACCGUAAGGAGCUGCCUAGGGUAAAACUGAUAACUGGGGCU